CCUCUACAAAACAAAGCGCUCCUUCGUAUGCCCACUUCCCCUCAAACAAUGGGAGACCUUUUACAGCUGAGAAGAACUCAAAAUCCACUUUUAUUCUUACUUUCACUAAUCCUUUAAAAACACAUCUUACCUCCUCCCCAUAUCCCGUUUCUAUCUUAUAUUUCCUACUCAGAAAAAUUGACAUCUUAGCUUGUCCCCCCAAAAAAUUUAACAGUUGACAUUUUCUUUUCUGUUGCUUACUAUAUUGAAACCCCAAAAUAAAAACAGUGUUAUUGAAAAUCUCCCCUACAGCUUUAAACAAAGACUCCAGCAUUUCCAGAAGGUGACUGUUGACCCAGGGUUUAGAGUGUUCCCUCAGCAGUAGAAGGUGACUGUUGACCCAGGGUUUAGAGUAUUCCCUCAGCAGUAGAAGGUGACUGUUGACCCAGGGUUUAGAGUAUUCCCUCAGCAGUAGGUGACUGUUGACCCAGGGUUUAGAGUGUUCCCCUCAGCAGUAGAAGGUGACUGUUGACCCAGGGUUUAGAGUGUUCCCUCAGCAGUAGAAGGUGACUGUUGACCCAGGGUUUAGAGUAUUCCCUCAGCAGUAGGUGACUGUUGACCCAGGGUUUAGAGUAUUCCCUCAGCAGUAGGUGACUGUUGACCCAGGGUUUAGAGUAUUCCCUCAGCAGUAGAAGGUGACUGUUGACCCAGGGUUUAGAGUAUUCCCUCAGCAGUAGAAGGUGACUGUUGACCCAGGGUUUAGAGUAUUCCCUCAGCAGUAGAAGGUGACUGUUGACCCAGGGUUUAGAGUGUUCCCUCAGCAGUAGGUGACUGUUGACCCAGGGUUUAGAGUAUUCCCUCUCAUACACUAUGGCUUUUUUUUAUGUCUCUUGCCCCAUUUACGUUUAAAGAAGAAAUCUUAAAACUGCUCAUGGGUGAUAAAAAAAUACAGAGGAAGACCCAGAAACCACAUCUCUU
RNAcentral lists this long non-coding RNA (957 nucleotides) under Salmo salar (Atlantic salmon). Its description in RNAcentral is "lncRNA (ENSSSAG00000113790.1)". The record is from RNAcentral. Lineage: Eukaryota; Metazoa; Chordata; Actinopteri; Salmoniformes; Salmonidae.